This 305-nucleotide ribosomal RNA is filed under the name uncultured bacterium. RNAcentral describes it as "bacterial SSU rRNA". It matches the Rfam family "Bacterial small subunit ribosomal RNA", at positions 334 to 654 of the family's 1533-position model. The record is from RNAcentral.
GGGUCCUACGGGGGGCAGCAGUGGGGAAUAUUGCACAAUGGGGGAAACCCUGAUGCAGCAACGCCGCGUGAAGGAAGACGGUUUUCGGAUUGUAAAGCUCUGUCCUUGAGGAAGAAGGAAGUGACGGUACUCAAGGAGGAAGCCCCGGCUAACUACGUGCCAGCAGCCGCGGUAAUACGUAGGGGGCAAGCGUUAUCCGGAAUUAUUGGGCGUAAAGAGUACGUAGGUGGUUUUGUAAGCGCGGGGUGAAAGGCAGUGGCUUAACCAUUGUAAGCCUUGCGAACUGCAAGACUUGAGGGCAGGAG